Molecule: ribosomal RNA, 1503 nt
Filed under: Bacillus subtilis
Lineage: Bacteria; Bacillati; Bacillota; Bacilli; Caryophanales; Bacillaceae
Description: bacterial SSU rRNA
Rfam family: Bacterial small subunit ribosomal RNA
Source: RNAcentral
ACUGCUCAGGACGAACGCUGGCGGCGUGCCUAAUACAUGCAAGUCGAGCGGACAGAUGGGAGCUUGCUCCCUGAUGUUAGCGGCGGACGGGUGAGUAACACGUGGGUAACCUGCCUGUAAGACUGGGAUAACUCCGGGAAACCGGGGCUAAUACCGGAUGGUUGUUUGAACCGCAUGGUUCAAACAUAAAAGGUGGCUUCGGCUACCACUUACAGAUGGACCCGCGGCGCAUUAGCUAGUUGGUGAGGUAAUGGCUCACCAAGGCAACGAUGCGUAGCCGACCUGAGAGGGUGAUCGGCCACACUGGGACUGAGACACGGCCCAGACUCCUACGGGAGGCAGCAGUAGGGAAUCUUCCGCAAUGGACGAAAGUCUGACGGAGCAACGCCGCGUGAGUGAUGAAGGUUUUCGGAUCGUAAAGCUCUGUUGUUAGGGAAGAACAAGUACCGUUCGAAUAGGGCGGUACCUUGACGGUACCUAACCAGAAAGCCACGGCUAACUACGUGCCAGCAGCCGCGGUAAUACGUAGGUGGCAAGCGUUGUCCGGAAUUAUUGGGCGUAAAGGGCUCGCAGGCGGUUUCUUAAGUCUGAUGUGAAAGCCCCCGGCUCAACCGGGGAGGGUCAUUGGAAACUGGGGAACUUGAGUGCAGAAGAGGAGAGUGGAAUUCCACGUGUAGCGGUGAAAUGCGUAGAGAUGUGGAGGAACACCAGUGGCGAAGGCGACUCUCUGGUCUGUAACUGACGCUGAGGAGCGAAAGCGUGGGGAGCGAACAGGAUUAGAUACCCUGGUAGUCCACGCCGUAAACGAUGAGUGCUAAGUGUUAGGGGGUUUCCGCCCCUUAGUGCUGCAGCUAACGCAUUAAGCACUCCGCCUGGGGAGUACGGUCGCAAGACUGAAACUCAAAGGAAUUGACGGGGGCCCGCACAAGCGGUGGAGCAUGUGGUUUAAUUCGAAGCAACGCGAAGAACCUUACCAGGUCUUGACAUCCUCUGACAAUCCUAGAGAUAGGACGUCCCCUUCGGGGGCAGAGUGACAGGUGGUGCAUGGUUGUCGUCAGCUCGUGUCGUGAGAUGUUGGGUUAAGUCCCGCAACGAGCGCAACCCUUGAUCUUAGUUGCCAGCAUUCAGUUGGGCACUCUAAGGUGACUGCCGGUGACAAACCGGAGGAAGGUGGGGAUGACGUCAAAUCAUCAUGCCCCUUAUGACCUGGGCUACACACGUGCUACAAUGGACAGAACAAAGGGCAGCGAAACCGCGAGGUUAAGCCAAUCCCACAAAUCUGUUCUCAGUUCGGAUCGCAGUCUGCAACUCGACUGCGUGAAGCUGGAAUCGCUAGUAAUCGCGGAUCAGCAUGCCGCGGUUGAAUACGUUCCCGGGCCUUGUACACACCGCCCGUCACACCACGAGAGUUUGUAACACCCGAAGUCGGUGAGGUAACCUUUUAGGAGCCAGCCGCCGAAGGUGGGACAGAUGAUUGGGGUGAAGUCGUAACAAGGUAGCCGU